RNAcentral lists this ribosomal RNA (1677 nucleotides) under Rickettsiales bacterium. RNAcentral describes it as "bacterial SSU rRNA". It matches the Rfam family "Bacterial small subunit ribosomal RNA". Lineage: Bacteria; Pseudomonadati; Pseudomonadota; Alphaproteobacteria; Rickettsiales. The record is from RNAcentral.
CCGAAGAGUUUGAUUCUGGCUCAGAAUGAACGCUAGCGGCACACUUAACACAUGCAAGUCGAAUGCUUUAAUUGAAAGUUUCCAUUUCAAAAGAAGCAUGGCGAACGGGUGCGUAAUACGUGAGAACCUACCUUUUAAGCAGGGAUAAUUAUACAUGCAUCAUCAGAUGUGUGGAAUCUGUUAAUUUUAAUUAACAGAGUAAAAAUACCUGAUAUAACUUACCUCUCAUGGUAAGAAAAAGAUUACUAUUCAAUUAGAAGAAAUUUAUAAAUAAUAUUUAAAUUUACUUAGUAACAUCUUGUUAACUAUCCAGAUGAUUCUUUUUAAGAAUCAUUAGAUGAAGUGAAAUAAAUAUUAUCUUUUAAAUUUUAAUCCUUUAAAGAUGGUCUCACGGAGGACUAUGGUAGUUGGUAGGGUAAUAGCUUACCAAGCCUACAAUCCUUAGCUGAUCUGAAAGGAUGAUCAGCCACACUGGAACUGAGACACGGUCCAGACUUCUACGGAAGGCAGCAGUGAGGAAUCUUGGACAAUGGGCGAAAGCCUGAUCCAGUGAUGUCGCGUGAGUGAUGAAGGCGCUUUUGUUGUAAAACUCUUUUGUCGGGGAAAAUAAUGAUGGUACCCGGAGAAUAAGUCCUGGCUAAUUCCGUGCCAGCAGCCGCGGUAAUACGGGAAGGACUAGUGUUAUUCCUAUUAAUUUGGCGUAAAGGGUGUGUAGGCUGUUAAUUAAGUUAAUGGUGAAAUCCCCAAGAUAACUUGGGAAGAGCUAUUAAAACUGGUUAACUAGAGUACAAGAGAGGUUGGUAGAAUUUCUAGUGUAAGGAUAAAAUCUGAAGAUAUUAGAAGGAAUCUCAAAAGCGAAAGCAACCAACCGGAUUGUAACUGACGCUGAGACACGAAAGUGUGGGGAGCAAACAGGAUUAGAUACCCUGGUAGUCCACACUGUAAACGAUGAAUAUUAAAUGUUGGGGUAUAGAUCAAUAAUAUUUCGAUGUUCUGUUUUCAGAACAUCAUAUUGUUUAACAAUCAUUUGUUAUCAUAACAAUAUCAUUAUUGUAUCUAUCUCUCAGUGUUGUAGCUAACGCGUUAAAUAUUCCGCCUGGGAAGUAGGAUCGCAAGAUUGAAACUCAAAGAAAUUGGCGGGAGCUUGAACAAGCGGCGGAGCAUGUGGUUUAAUUCGAAACAACGCGCAAAACCUUACCAAUUCUUGACUCUCUAACUAGAAAUCUUAAUUCAUGUUUUGCUUUAAGUCGGUUAGAAACAGGUGUUGCAUGGCUGUCGUCAGCUCGUGUUGUGAAAUGUAGCGUUAAGUCGUAUCUAACGAGCGCAACCCUCAUCAUUUGUUUCCUAUUUGUUAUUUAACAAUGUAAGAUUGUUUAUGACAAAGGACUCUAAUGAAACUGCCAGUGAUAAAUUGGAGGAAGGAGAGGAUGACGUCAAGUCCUCAUGACCCUAAUGAAUUGGGCUACACAUGUGCUACAAUGGUGAAUACAAAAGGAAGCAAUAGUGAAAACUGGAGCAAAUCCUCAAAAUUCAUCUCAGUUCAGAUUGUUCUCUGCAACUCGAGAACAUGAAGUCGGAGUCGCUAGUAAUCGUAGAUCAGCACGCUACGGUGAAUACGUUCUCAAGCUUUGUACACACUGCCCGUCAUACCCUGAAAACAGGUUCUAUCUGAAGUUG